RNAcentral lists this long non-coding RNA (236 nucleotides) under Elaeis guineensis (African oil palm). Its description in RNAcentral is "long non-coding RNA (EGUI_LNC025435)". Lineage: Eukaryota; Viridiplantae; Streptophyta; Magnoliopsida; Arecales; Arecaceae. The record is from RNAcentral.
AUACCUCAUUUUUUAUAAUACAUCUACUUGCACAAAUCUCGAAGUACUCCAUCCUAUAUUAUUCAUCUACUUGAAUUUCGAAGUGCUCCAUUUUUUGUUAUCCAUCUACUUGCACGAAUCUCAAAGUCACCCAUUCUUCAUCAUUCAUCCAUUUGUACAGAUUUCAAAACAGUCUAUCCUCCACCAUCCAUCCAGAUUUUAAAGCAUUUUAUUAUUUGUCAUUCAUUUGCUUACAC